GAUGAACGCUAGCUACAGGCUUAACACAUGCAAGUCGAGGGGCAGCGCAGUGUAGCAAUACAUGGGCGGCGACCGGCGCACGGGUGCGUAACGCGUAUCCAACCUUCCCGUUACUCAGGGAUAGCCUUCCGAAAGGGAGAUUAAUACCUGAUGGUGUUGAAAUUUCGCAUGUUAUUUCAACUAAAGAUUUAUCGGUAACGGAUGGGGAUGCGUGACAUUAGGUAGAUGGCGGGGUAACGGCCCACCAUACCUACGAUGUCUAGGGGUUCUGAGAGGAAGGUCCCCCACACUGGAACUGAGACACGGUCCAGACUCCUACGGGAGCAGCAGUGAGGAAUAUUGGUCAAUGGUCGGGAGACUGAACCAGCCAAGUAGCGUGAAGGAUGAAGGUUCUAUGGAUUGUAAACUUCUUUUAUACGGGAAUAAAACCUCCACGUGUGGAGCUUGUAUCGUACCGUAUGAAUAAGCAUCGGCUAACUCCGUGCCAG
This 488-nucleotide ribosomal RNA is filed under the name uncultured bacterium. RNAcentral's name for it is "bacterial SSU rRNA". It matches the Rfam family "Bacterial small subunit ribosomal RNA", at positions 28 to 511 of the family's 1533-position model. The record is from RNAcentral.